This 402-nucleotide ribosomal RNA is filed under the name bacterium. RNAcentral's name for it is "partial 16S ribosomal RNA". It matches the Rfam family "Bacterial small subunit ribosomal RNA", at positions 355 to 776 of the family's 1533-position model. The record is from RNAcentral.
UGGGGAAUUUUGCACAAUGGGGGAAACCCUGAUGCAGCGACGCCGCGUGAUUUAGAAGGCCUUCGGGUUGUAAAAAUCUUUUCUAUGGGAAGAAAAUGACAGUACCAUAGGAAUAAGGACCGGCUAAUAACGCGCCAGCAGCCGCGGUAAUACGUAAGGUCCGAGCGUUGUCCGGAAUCAUUGGGCGUAAAGGGUACGUAGGCGGGUAAGCAAGUUAGAGGUGAAAUCCUAUAGCUCAACUAUAGUAAGCUUUUAAAACUGCUCAUCUUGAGGUAUGGAAGGGAAAGUGGAAUUCCUAGUGUAGCGGUGAAAUGCGCAGAUAUUAGGAGGAAUACCGGUGGCGAAGGCGACUUUCUGGCCAUAACCUGACGCUGAGGUACGAAAGCGUGGGUAGCAAACAGG